CCUACGGGUGGCAGCAGUAGGGAAUCUUCCACAAUGGGCGAAAGCCUGAUGGAGCAACGCCGCGUGGGUGAAGAAGGUCUUCGGAUCGUAAAACUCUGUUGUUAGAGAAGUAAGUGCGUGAGAGUAACUGUUCACGUUUCGACGGUAUCUAACCAGAACGCCACGGCUAACUACGUGCCAGCAGCCGCGGUAAUACGUAGGUGGCAAGCGUUAUCCGGAUUUAUUGGGCGUAAAGGGAACGCAGGCGGUCUUUUAAGUCUGAUGUGAAAGCCUUCGGCUUAACCGGAGUAGUGCAUUGGAAACUGGGAGACUUGAGUGCAGAAGAGGUGAGUGGAACUCCAUGUGUAGCGGUGAAAUGCGUAGAUAUAUGGAAGAACACCAGUGGCGAAGGCAGCUCUCUGGUCUGUAACUGACGCCGAGGUUCGAAAGCGUGGGUAGCAAACAGGAUUAGAUACCCGAGUAGUC
Molecule: ribosomal RNA, 465 nt
Filed under: uncultured bacterium
Lineage: Bacteria
Description: partial 16S ribosomal RNA
Rfam family: Bacterial small subunit ribosomal RNA
Source: RNAcentral